CCUACGGGAGGCAGCAGUAGGGAAUAUUGCACAAUGGGAGAAACCCUGAUGCAGCGACGCCGCGUGGGGGAAGAAGGUUUUCGGAUUGUAAACCCCUUUUGGUAGGGAAGAUAAUGACGGUAUCUGACGAAUAAGCACCGGCUAACUCCGUGCCAGCAGCCGCGGUAAUACGGAGGGUGCAAGCGUUACCCGGAUUCACUGGGCGUAAAGGGAGCGUAGGCGGGAUAGCAAGUCUGAUGUGAAAGCCCGGGGCUCAACCGCGGAACUGCUUUGGAAACUGUAAAGCUGGAGUACUGGAGAGGCAAGCGGAAUUCCUAGUGUAGCGGUGAAAUGCGUAGAUAUUAGGAGGAACACCAGUGGCGAAGGCGGCUUGCUGGACAGAAACUGACGUUGAGGCUCGAAAGCGUGGGGAGCAAACAGGAUUAGAUACCCCUGUAGUC
This 440-nucleotide ribosomal RNA is filed under the name uncultured bacterium. RNAcentral's name for it is "partial 16S ribosomal RNA". It matches the Rfam family "Bacterial small subunit ribosomal RNA", at positions 338 to 795 of the family's 1533-position model. The record is from RNAcentral.